GACGAACGCUGGCGGCGUGCUUAACACAUGCAAGUCGAACGGAAAGGCCCUGCUCUUGUGGGGUGCUCGUGUGGCGAACGGGUGAGUAACACGCGUGUAACCUGCCCUUGUCUUUGGGAUAACAUCAGGAAACUGGGGCUAAUACCGGGUAGAAUCUCCUGAUCCAUGGGGGGGAUUGGAGAGUUUCGGCUGUUGGGGAUGGAAUCGCGGCUUAUCAGCUUGUUGGGCGGGUAGUGGCUUACCAAGCCUUUGACGGGUAGCCGGCCUGGGAGGGGGACCGGCGACAUGAGGCCUAAGAUACGGCGCAGACUCCAACGGGAGGCAGCGGUGGGAAGUAUUGCACAGUGGGCGGAAGCCUGAUGUAGCAGCGCCGCGUGCGGGAUGACGGCUUUCGGGGUGUGAACCGCUUUCGCCUGUGACGAAGCGUGAGUGACGGUAAUGGGUCAAGAAGCACCGGCUAACUACGUG
RNAcentral lists this ribosomal RNA (468 nucleotides) under uncultured bacterium. RNAcentral's name for it is "partial 16S ribosomal RNA". It matches the Rfam family "Bacterial small subunit ribosomal RNA", at positions 28 to 507 of the family's 1533-position model. The record is from RNAcentral.